Labrus mixtus (cuckoo wrasse) is the source of this 404-nucleotide long non-coding RNA. RefSeq lists it as uncharacterized. The transcript has 2 exons. NCBI's taxonomy places the organism in Eukaryota, Metazoa, Chordata, Actinopteri, Labriformes, Labridae. The record is from RefSeq and is a predicted model, not a curated record.
GGCUCUGGCUGUGAUCCUGUUUCUCUGUGUAUCCCUUGUGUCCCCUCCCCCUCUGUCUGUCUGUGUGUCUGUCUGUGUGUGUGUGUGUGUGUGUGUGUGUCUCUGGAGGGCGUGGCUUCAAUCAAACACCUGGUGACUACUCACACCUGCAACUCAUCUGCUCAUCUGCCUCAGGCUAAGACCCUGGGUUCAACUCGACUCACUGCCAGAUUAUUUAGUCUACUGAAGUGAUUUUCCCCGGUGUCAUCUCCUCCAGUCUGCUCUCCCCUCGGACUACUCAACCAAUUACCUGUCUGCCUACGGAACCGGCUAACUCCAUAAGUCUCCUCCAUGCCGUCACUACCAGCCAGCCAGUUAGCCAUUCACCGAAAACUAGCCCUGCAAUAAAACCUCAAACCCUUCAA